GGAACUCUACUGAUAAGUGACUGAUUUUCCCUGCAAGGAUUGUCUUAUUUUAAACUUCAAAUUUAGUUGCCUUACUUUAUGUAAGGCAAUUUUGAAUGGAUUUUAAAGUAAAGAUGAAGACUAUUCAUACUUUUCUAAACCUAGAAGGCAGAAGAACUGAGCCAAUGAAGGAGUGCAUCUUAUCUAAGAGGACUACAGGUCUUAACAGUAGCAUACAGGGAACGCUCUUUCUUUCAAAAUGGUGCUAGCCAACCUUUAAUAGAAACCUCAGAUAUAAAGUAUUACCGAAGUUCCCCAAAGGAUUUCUACAUGUUUAAAAAUAUAAAAAUACUUAUGUGCCUGGAACUGGAGCUGAGGAAAUGAUAAUGAUUCAUAUGAGUGACCAGAUAUUUCUUCAAUAUUAAAGCCAUAUUAUAAGUACCAGGAUAAUGCAAGAAAGCUUUUCUUAAAGCUUUUCCAGCAUAAGGCAAAGGAAGGAUUGCCAACAGUUGCUUGUCAGAGAAUGUCUGGUAGGUGAGUUCACUUAGGGUGGCUUCUUCUACCGGGAACAGGAAGAAGGUAUUAAUACCAACAAAUGGAGACAGAAGACCACUUCACAUUUUGUUGUGACCUAGAAUUUGGAGAAUGUGUUGGAGACUGAUGGAUACAUACACAGAACCCACCAUGGACUUGCUGAAUAGGUGCCAGACUGCCCAACUUUCCUGUUUAUCACCCUUUAUCUUGAGGAUCAUCUUGUAUAAAACACAGACCCAUGAAAUAUAAGAAUGAAUCAUUAGUUAAAAAAACAAAAGAGGGGUGCCUGAGUUGCUCAGUCAUUAAGCCUCUGCCUUAGGCUCAGGUCAUGAUCCUGGGGCCCUGCUCAGUGGAGAGCCUGC
Canis lupus familiaris (dog) is the source of this 875-nucleotide long non-coding RNA. RefSeq lists it as uncharacterized. The transcript has 3 exons. The record is from RefSeq and is a predicted model, not a curated record. NCBI's taxonomy places the organism in Eukaryota, Metazoa, Chordata, Mammalia, Carnivora, Canidae.